AGAGUUUGAUCCUGGCUCAGAUUGAACGCUGGCGGCAGGCCUAACACAUGCAAGUCGAACGGUAACAGGAAGAAGCUUGCUUCUUUGCUGACGAGUGGCGGACGGGUGAGUAAUGUCUGGGAAACUGCCUGAUGGAGGGGGAUAACUACUGGAAACGGUAGCUAAUACCGCAUAACGUCGCAAGACCAAAGAGGGGGACCUUCGGGCCUCUUGCCAUCGGAUGUGCCCAGAUGGGAUUAGCUAGUAGGUGGGGUAACGGCUCACCUAGGCGACGAUCCCUAGCUGGUCUGAGAGGAUGACCAGCCACACUGGAACUGAGACACGGUCCAGACUCCUACGGGAGGCAGCAGUGGGGAAUAUUGCACAAUGGGCGCAAGCCUGAUGCAGCCAUGCCGCGUGUAUGAAGAAGGCCUUCGGGUUGUAAAGUACUUUCAGCGGGGAGGAAGGGAGUAAAGUUAAUACCUUUGCUCAUUGACGUUACCCGCAGAAGAAGCACCGGCUAACUCCGUGCC
Molecule: ribosomal RNA, 512 nt
Filed under: uncultured Escherichia sp.
Lineage: Bacteria; Pseudomonadati; Pseudomonadota; Gammaproteobacteria; Enterobacterales; Enterobacteriaceae
Description: bacterial SSU rRNA
Rfam family: Bacterial small subunit ribosomal RNA
Source: RNAcentral